This 1987-nucleotide long non-coding RNA is filed under the name Daphnia magna. RNAcentral describes it as "uncharacterized LOC116930692, transcript variant X10". Lineage: Eukaryota; Metazoa; Arthropoda; Branchiopoda; Diplostraca; Daphniidae. The record is from RNAcentral.
UGCGUGUUUCUUCCCUCCCUCCAUCCGUCAUCUAUUUAAUGUGUGGUGCGCGUGGUUAAUCGCCAGUCACCAGCCGGAGUUCGGAAAGCUGUAGACGUUAAUAUUGGAGUUGUGAGACUUGUCUGGAAUCAGCAUGGUAUGGAGUGUUCCAUUUGGCUUAAUUUCAUGUAGUGACGAACAAUGUUCGUCCGUUGUUGACGCAUGUUUCUGUACGCAAGAUUGUGUGGCGAAGUCAGUCAAGUAUUAGACUUGCAUGACUCACGUGAGUUGGUAGAUUGAUACAUAUUUAUCAGAUGCUAGAGAUUAAUUUGGCCAAUUUUAGCUGAAAUAAGAGUUACUUCUCUUGAAUGUUACAUGUACAAAUUGCUUUGAAUUGCAUGAUGGUAUCAGUUUUCUGUGCUCAGUCCAGUGUUUUUCAAUUUUAUCAAAAGCGUUUGGUGAUUAAGAGUGUAAGCAGAUUUUUUCUCAUAAUGGACAUCGGUUUUAUUCCUGUUACUAUAUUCUCAUCUGUCUAGUAUUGACGGUGCUUACGGGUGUUUCCGUCCUGUAGAUUCUUUAUUGGUAGUCUGUCAACUCGUUUCAAUAUGAGUUCUAGUGUGGUGUUGGUGUUUCUUCAAUUGCCGAGUUCUUUCUCAGAUGUUGGAGUUCGCCAUGCUUAUUGGCCGUAAGGUGCAGGGUCUGGCCUAUGGGUUGAACUUUGAUUGGUGCUGAUGUGUGCCAUUCAUUUGAGAUGGUUUAGUUGGAGACAUCAAUGGCUGUACUAUAGUUUGCUAGUUGGCGGUGGAGUUUUUGCCGGCGCUUGUUCUUGGGUUCACUUGGCUGUGUUAAGUCAAUGGUCGUUGGGGAUUCCCAAUGAGUUGGUCUUCGCCGGGUAUUGCUGUUGGUAUGUUAUGAAUUCUUAGGAUUACUUUACCCCUCGGGAGUGUUCUUGGGCUGGUGAAUUUAUUGCUGUUAGCCGGGUGGAUUUGGACAGUUGGAGUUUACCAUUCACCUGAGGUGAUUACCGCAUUUUAAUGGGAAAUUCAACUUCAGGCGUGGAGAUGAGGGUCUACAUAUCAAUUUAUUGUUCCGGAGGUAUUAGGGAUUGGUGCAAACAGUUCACGGUUGUUUCGUUUGUCGAAAACGUGGGAGUCUUCUACAUGGUAAGUUGUACUUCGAAGUGGGGACUUUGGAGGUUUAAUGACUGAAUACCGUCGAUCCGUUGGUUUUCCUUUUGACUGGGUUUAAUAAGGUACUUUAUCAGCUAUGUAGAUUUUAUUUAUUCUAUUUCUGAUUUAUUCUCUCUUCUGAGACCUGUUCUUAACCUUUAUCAACCUGUUUGAUUUUUGCCGUUGGAACUGUCGGUGGUUCUAUGUUAAUCGCCACAUUUGCUUUUUGCCCUAGUUGUUUAUUUCGUCAGGGCCAUUCCAACUCUGCUCGUUAAUGGGCUAUUUUCUGACUUUGGAACGUCAAUGCAGUAGUGUAUGUACCCGUGGGGGCUUCUCGCCAGCUUUGCAUAUUAACCCUAUCGUCCAUUCAGUUUUCCAUUGUCGAUGUGUUAUGCCAACCAUGGCGGUUAUGUCAUGCUUGUACUUGUUAUGGUAUGUAACAUGUUUGGAGUGGUGCAUAGCAUCAGUUUUCGUUUAGUUAGUUGGGUAUUUUUCCGUGGGACUAAUUGACAUGGAAUAAAAAUUGUAAGUAUCAAUAUUGAUAUACAGAAGGUGAAUUAUAAGAUAUUAUUUUCAUAGGAUAGAUAAAUAUUUGAACAUAUUAAAAUAAUAUAUUAAUGCACAAUAUUAUUUAAUUGCACGAUUUUUUAUCCUGUAAAGUAAGCAACUGUAUCACUAGUGGCUUCAUGUAUAACUAUUAUUAAAUAUUAUCUUUGUUAAAAUGAUAAGUAACAUUGGUUUUCUUGUUCUGAUAAAUUGCUUUAUUGAACGUUUUAGAUGUUUUUAGUUAUUAGGUCUGUUUCCGGAAGUGGGUUUUAUAAUACAGGGUUGCCACCAUU